This 253-nucleotide ribosomal RNA is filed under the name uncultured bacterium. Its description in RNAcentral is "partial 16S ribosomal RNA". It matches the Rfam family "Bacterial small subunit ribosomal RNA", at positions 524 to 776 of the family's 1533-position model. The record is from RNAcentral.
UACGAAGGGUGCUAGCGUUGUUCGGAAUCACUGGGCGUAAAGCGCGCGUAGGCGGUUAUUCAAGUCAGGGGUGAAAUCCUGAGGCUCAACCUCAGAAUUGCCCUUGAAACUAAAUAACUAGAGUGUCGGAGGGGAUAGCGGAAUUUCUAAUGUAGCGGUGAAAUGCGUAGAUAUUAGAAGGAACACCGGUGGCGAAGGCGGCUAUCUGGACGACAACUGACGCUGAGGCGCGAAAGCGCGGGGAUCAAACAGG